This 492-nucleotide ribosomal RNA is filed under the name uncultured bacterium. Its description in RNAcentral is "partial 16S ribosomal RNA". It matches the Rfam family "Bacterial small subunit ribosomal RNA", at positions 29 to 507 of the family's 1533-position model. The record is from RNAcentral.
AGUGAACGCUGGCGGUAGGCCUAACACAUGCAAGUCGAACGGCAGCACAGUAAGAGCUUGCCCUUACGGGUGGCGAGUGGCGGACGGGUGAGGAAUACAUCGGAAUCUACUUUUUCGUGGGGGAUAACGUAGGGAAACUUACGCUAAUACCGCAUACGACCUACGGGUGAAAGCAGGGGAUCUUCGGACCUUGCGCGAUUGAAUGAGCCGAUGUCGGAUUAGCUAGUUGGCGGGGUAAAGGCCCACCAAGGCGACGAUCCGUAGCUGGUCUGAGAGGAUGAUCAGCCACACUGGAACUGAGACACGGUCCAGACUCCUACGGGAGGCAGCAGUGGGGAAUAUUGGAAAAUGGGCGCAAGCCUGAUCCAGACAUACCGCGUGGGUGAAGAAGGCCUUCGGGUUGUAAAGCCCUUUUGUUGGGAAAGAAAAGCAGCAGGUUAAUACCCCGCUGUUCUGACGGUACCCAAAGAAUAAGCACCGGCUAACUUCGUG